GAGUUUGAUCGUGGCUCAGAUUGAACGCUGGCGGCAUGCCUUACACAUGCAAGUCGAACGGCAGCAUGAUCUAGCUUGCUAGAUUGAUGGCGAGUGGCGAACGGGUGAGUAAUACAUCGGAACGUGCCCUGUAGUGGGGGAUAACUAGUCGAAAGAUUAGCUAAUACCGCAUACGACCUGAGGGUGAAAGUGGGGGACCGCAAGGCCUCAUGCUAUAGGAGCGGCCGAUGUCUGAUUAGCUAGUUGGUGGGGUAAAGGCCCACCAAGGCGACGAUCAGUAGCUGGUCUGAGAGGACGAUCAGCCACACUGGGACUGAGACACGGCCCAGACUCCUACGGGAGGCAGCAGUGGGGAAUUUUGGACAAUGGGCGAAAGCCUGAUCCAGCAAUGCCGCGUGUGUGAAGAAGGCCUCGGUUG
Molecule: ribosomal RNA, 418 nt
Filed under: uncultured microorganism
Description: bacterial SSU rRNA
Rfam family: Bacterial small subunit ribosomal RNA
Source: RNAcentral